ACUCCAGAGAUGGACCGUUCCUUCGGGGACAAGGUGACAGGUGGUGCAUGGUUGUCGUCAGCUCGUGUCGUGAGAUGUUGGGAAAAGUCCCGCAACGAGCGCAACCCUUAUUACUAGUUGCCAGCAUUCAGUUGGGCACUCUAGUGAGACUGCCGGUGACAAACCGGAGGAAGGUGGGGAUGACGUCAAAUCAUCAUGCCCCUUAUGACCUGGGCUACACACGUGCUACAAUGGCGUAUACAACGAGUUGCCAACCCGCGAGGGUGAGCUAAUCUCUUAAAGUACGUCUCAGUUCGGAUUGUAGGCUGCAACUCGCCUACAUGAAGUCGGAAUCGCUAGUAAUCGCGGAUCAGCACGCCGCGGUGAAUACGUUCCCGGGUCUUGUACAC
This 389-nucleotide ribosomal RNA is filed under the name uncultured bacterium. Its description in RNAcentral is "bacterial SSU rRNA". It matches the Rfam family "Bacterial small subunit ribosomal RNA", at positions 997 to 1388 of the family's 1533-position model. The record is from RNAcentral.